AUUGAACGCUGGCGGCAUGCCUUACACAUGCAAGUCGAACGGCAGCAUGAUCUAGCUUGCUCGAUUGAUGGCGAGUGGCGAACGGGUGAGUAAUACAUCGGAACGUGCCCUGUAGUGGGGGAUAACUAGUCGAAAGAUUAGCUAAUACCGCAUACGACCUGAGGGUGAAAGUGGGGGACCGCAAGGCCUCAUGCUAUAGGAGCGGCCGAUGUCUGAUUAGCUAGUUGGUGAGGUAAAGGCUCACCAAGGCGACGAUCAGUAGCUGGUCUGAGAGGACGAUCAGCCACACUGGGACUGAGACACGGCCCAGAAUCCUACGGGAGGCAGCAGUGGGGAAUUUUGGACAAUGGGCGAAAGCCUGAUCCAGCAAUGCCGCGUGUGUGAAGAAGGCCUUCGGGUUGUAAAGCACUUUUGUCCGGAAAGAAAUGGCUCUGGUUAAUACCUGGGGUCGAUGACGGUACCGGAAGAAUAAGGACCGGCUAACUACGUG
Molecule: ribosomal RNA, 490 nt
Filed under: uncultured bacterium
Lineage: Bacteria
Description: partial 16S ribosomal RNA
Rfam family: Bacterial small subunit ribosomal RNA
Source: RNAcentral